RNAcentral lists this transfer RNA (72 nucleotides) under Camelus bactrianus (Bactrian camel). It matches the Rfam family "tRNA". From Rfam's summary of the family: Transfer RNA (tRNA) molecules are approximately 80 nucleotides in length. Their secondary structure includes four short double-helical elements and three loops (D, anti-codon, and T loops). Further hydrogen bonds mediate the characteristic L-shaped molecular structure. tRNAs have two regions of fundamental functional importance: the anti-codon, which is responsible for specific mRNA codon recognition, and the 3' end, to which the tRNAs corresponding amino acid is attached (by aminoacyl-tRNA synthetases). tRNAs cope with the degeneracy of the genetic code in two manners: having more than one tRNA (with a specific anti-codon) for a particular amino acid; and 'wobble' base-pairing, i.e. permitting non-standard base-pairing at the 3rd anti-codon position. Lineage: Eukaryota; Metazoa; Chordata; Mammalia; Artiodactyla; Camelidae. The record is from Rfam by way of RNAcentral. RNAcentral also lists the same sequence under 2 other names.
GAGGGUAUAGCUCAGUGGUAGAGCACAUGCUCAGCACACAGGAGGUCCUGGGUUCAAUCUCCAGUAGCUACU